CAGCAGUAGGGAAUAUUGCACAAUGGGCGAAAGCCUGAUGCAGCCAUGCCGCGUGUGUGAAGAAGGCCUUCGGGUUGUAAAGCACUUUCAGCGAGGAGGAAAGGUUGACGGUUAAUACCCGUCAGCUGUGACGUUACUCGCAGAAGAAGCACCGGCUAACUCCGUGCCAGCAGCCGCGGUAAUACGGAGGGUGCGAGCGUUAAUCGGAAUUACUGGGGCGUAAAAGCGCAUGCAGGCGGCCAAGUCAGUCAGAUGUGAAAGCCCCCGGGCUUAACCUGGGAAUUGCAUUUGAAACUGCUUGGCUAGAGUCCUUGAGAGGGGGUAGAAUUUCAGGUGUAGCGGUGAAAUGCGUAGAGAUCUGAAGGAAUACCAGUGGCGAAGGCGGCCCCCUGGCAAGAGACUGACGCUCAGAUGCGAAAGCGUGGGGAGCAAACAGGAUUAGAUACCCUGGUAG
RNAcentral lists this ribosomal RNA (454 nucleotides) under uncultured bacterium. Its description in RNAcentral is "bacterial SSU rRNA". It matches the Rfam family "Bacterial small subunit ribosomal RNA", at positions 349 to 793 of the family's 1533-position model. The record is from RNAcentral.